UUCCUACGGGACGCAGCAGUGGGGAAUAUUGCACAAUGGGGGAAACCCUGAUGCAGCGACGCCGCGUGAGUGAAGAAGUAUUUCGGUAUGUAAAGCUCUAUCAGCAGGAACGAGACAAGACGGUACCUGACUAGGAAGCACCGGCUAACUCCGUGCCAGCAGCCGCGGUAAUACGGAGGGUGCGAGCGUUAAUCGGAAUUACUGGGCGUAAAGCGCUCGUAGGCGGUAUGUCAAGUCAAGGGUGAAAUCCCCGCGCUCAACGUGGGAACUGCCUUUGAAACUGGCAAACUGGAGUGUGUGAGAGG
Molecule: ribosomal RNA, 305 nt
Filed under: uncultured bacterium
Lineage: Bacteria
Description: bacterial SSU rRNA
Rfam family: Bacterial small subunit ribosomal RNA
Source: RNAcentral